ACGGUCAGCCAAUCAGAGGGCCGCUGUGGUUCCAAUAUCGAGAAUCAGACUUUGUGGUGACUUCUGUCAUCCAAUCAGAGGCCGGAUUUGUUCCAAUAUUCCUCCAGGACCCUCCCCUGUCACUGGAACCUGCUGAACGGUGCGGACGGAGCUCCCAGGGGCACAUGGGAAGUUCUGUGUGACGAGUCUUUACAUCAGGACGAGAGGAAACAACCUGUUCAGGUCAGUGUUGGUUCCACCACCUCCACCAGAGGUGCUGUCACACUCACAUCCUCAACUACCUCCAUUUCUGCUGCUGCUUUGUCCAGUGUGGGCUAAAGAAGAUCAAGAAGACAGACACAGAGACGUAAAGAGGACUGGUAGGAGCCUGGACUACUUUCCUGCUGCAAAAGAACAGGACCCACAUGAACGGACGGCCUCAAUCACCUGAAACAGAGCUGUGCUCCUCCAACUCCUCCACUGGUUGUUAAACAGGCUGCUCCUCAAGUACAGUUUCUGUGACUGAGGUUGUUGUGAAGUGUGAACACUCAGUAAACUCUAUACAUGCUCACAGCUCUGACUCUACCUCCCCUGCAGCAAGACGCAGCCACUAAGGCUGUUUGUGAAGGCUUCAUCAGAUUGUUGUUUCAUAUAUAUAUAUUUUUUUAAAUAUGCACAAUGCCAAGUGCAGCAACAACGACAAAAAAACAUGACUACAUCACACAAAUAAAGUAGAGAACUAAAUAAAGGUGGUUGAAGUUGCUUUUUCCAUUGACAGUAGGUCUAGAAAGUCUUUCAGCCAGUUAUGUUUACUAAAGCGUCCGGUUUGCGUAUCUUCCAAUUCAUAAGUAUGAUCCUCUUCACAGAGAGAAAAGCUAGAGCAGUGAUUUGUUGAGUGAUUCUUGAAUUUAAAUCUGCGACUCUACUUCCCAAUAAGCAUAAAGUGGGACAUUGAGGAACAUUAACAUUCAAUACACCUUUUAAAAGAUCAAUUACUUCAGACCAGAGUCGUUCUACUGCCGGGCAGAACCAUAGUAGAUGCAUCAAAGUACCAGGUUCACCACAGCCACAGUUCAGAGACGUUUGCGUCCAUUUUUUUUUUUUAACUUAUGUGGUGUAAUAUAAGCUCUCUGUACAAGUUUAAUUUGAAUAAUUUCAUAUC
This is a long non-coding RNA of Mugil cephalus (flathead mullet), 1141 nucleotides long. RefSeq lists it as uncharacterized. The transcript is spliced from 3 exons. NCBI's taxonomy places the organism in Eukaryota, Metazoa, Chordata, Actinopteri, Mugiliformes, Mugilidae. The record is from RefSeq and is a predicted model, not a curated record.